CCCUUAGAUGUUCGGGGCCGCACGCGCGCUACACUGAUGCAUUCAACGAGCCUAUCCUUGACCGACAGGUCCGGGUAAUCUUUGAAUCUGCAUCGUGACGGGGAUAGAUUAUUGCAAUUAUUAAUCUUCAACGAGGAAUGCCUAGUAGGCGCAAGUCAUCAGCUUGCGUCGAUUACGUCCCUGCCCUUUGUACACACCGCCCGUCGCUCCUACCGAUUGGGUGUGCUGGUGAAAUGUUCGGAUCGGCCGUUUGUCGCGGUUUCCGCGUCAUGUGGCUGAGAAGUUCAUUAAACCCUCCCACCUAGAGGAAGGAGAAGUCGUAACA
Molecule: ribosomal RNA, 325 nt
Filed under: uncultured eukaryote
Lineage: Eukaryota
Description: partial 18S ribosomal RNA
Rfam family: Eukaryotic small subunit ribosomal RNA
Source: RNAcentral